Molecule: ribosomal RNA, 164 nt
Filed under: uncultured bacterium
Lineage: Bacteria
Description: partial 16S ribosomal RNA
Rfam family: Bacterial small subunit ribosomal RNA
Source: RNAcentral
UAGGGGAUCUUCCACAAUGGACGAAAGUCUGAUGGAGCAACGCCGCGUGAGUGAAGAAGGGUUUCGGCUCGUAAAACUCUGUUGUUAAAGAAGAACAUAUCUGAGAGUAACUGUUCAGGUAUUGACGGUAUUUAACCAGAAAGCCACGGCUAACUACGUGCCGG